RNAcentral lists this ribosomal RNA (253 nucleotides) under uncultured bacterium. RNAcentral's name for it is "partial 16S ribosomal RNA". It matches the Rfam family "Bacterial small subunit ribosomal RNA", at positions 524 to 776 of the family's 1533-position model. The record is from RNAcentral.
UACAGAGGGGGCAAGCGUUAUUCGGAAUUAUUGGGCGUAAAGCGUGCGCAGGCGGCUUUGCAAGACAGAUGUGAAAUCCCCGGGCUCAACCUGGGAACUGCAUUUGUGACUGCAUGGCUAGAGUGCGGCAGAGGGGGAUGGAAUUCCGCGUGUAGCAGUGAAAUGCGUAGAUAUGCGGAGGAACACCGAUGGCGAAGGCAAUCCCCUGGGCCUGCACUGACGCUCAUGCACGAAAGCGUGGGGAGCAAACAGG